Molecule: long non-coding RNA, 1408 nt
Filed under: Elaeis guineensis (African oil palm)
Lineage: Eukaryota; Viridiplantae; Streptophyta; Magnoliopsida; Arecales; Arecaceae
Description: long non-coding RNA (EGUI_LNC066308)
Source: RNAcentral
UUCUUCUUUGUUUCCCUUCUUUUUCUUCAAUGGGAUCUUCUACACAAAGGUCUGAGGACUAGGAGGUUGUCAGUCAAGGGUCUCUAGGUCAGGCUUCUACAGAGUUGGGAGAGGCUUCAUUCGAGGUCACCUUAGGUCUGAAUACUAUAAAAAGCAUCCUAGAAGAGGUUGAUCUCGAAUGGAUCUGGGCCAAGCUGACCUUGAAUAGAAUGAGUUGAUUUGAAUAUGGCUUCCCUUAGUGAUCUAGUCAUUUAUAUACUGUGCAAGAAUGAAGUUCAACUUGGACAAGCUUUUGGUAUUUCUCGCAAGAGGAAAAAGUCCAGUCAUGAGAAAGUAGCUCCUUAGAGGAAAGGAAGGUGAAAGAAACUGAGCUAAGCCUAAUGAGGUAAGUCGAAGGAACUUGGGCUAAGCAUAAUUUAUGACAUACACUUAGUUGAAGUGAAGAAGUUGAAGAAUACCAUAGGAUUUUUGCCUUAUCUUCAUCCUUUAGAGUUUAGAAGAUAGCAUUCACUGAACCACCCAUAGGUCCUACUAGGCUUGCUAAAUCAUUAGAGGCCAUUGAUUGAGCAGCAAUUGCCCUAGAGUCAGAUGAAAGUCCUCGAAUUCAAACCUCAAAUCAAGUUUCUAACUAUACUCACUUUGUAUCAGCUGCUAGAAGUUUCAUUUUCACAACAACAUGUAGAAGCCUCAUCUCCUUAGUGACUUACACCACCUCAAGAGCCCGAAUCACACCCUUUUGUUGUAAGGUGGUUGCUCAAGGACAUAAACUUCAUAAUCCACGACCCAAUGCUGGCAAGGAUGAUACAUCCUCGGGAUGUUGAAUCUCUCAAGAGCAUGAGUGUGGAUGAUGCCUUCUCUGGUGCUUACAAUGUAGUAGUUAAGAUACAUUAUUGUUUAUUACUUGCUGAUGCCACUUGCUCAUCUUUAGCUAACUUGGUCAUCUUUACUUUGCAAGCUUGUUUUCUAGUCUACACCCCAGAAGCCAUUGUCAGUGGUUGCCAUGAUAAAGUUGAGGUGUAGAAAGUGAAACCUAUCACACCAAACAGGGGCUUCAAAUUCCUAAGCAUGGGAGAGCUCUAGUCGAGCUAGGGCUCAUUGAUGCUCAGGAAGUCAAGGUUGCUAAGGAGCAAACCCAAAUUUUACAAGAGGGGAAUGAAAAACUUGAGAUAAUCAUCCUCAAGAUAAAGAAGAUGUCGAAUGAUCUACAACAUGAGGCAGCAGGAUUGAAAGAAGAGGUAGCUUGUGUUCAAGCUGUCCUUCAAACUGCUUAAGAUAAUGCUUUUGCCACCAAAAUGGAGCAACUUCAGACUCAAUGCCGAACUUCACAAGCAGAAGUGGAGAGCUUUAGGGUGCGGAGAGAGCUAAUCAAGUCGAGAAAAGGGUUACUUAGAUUGUUGCAGAUUACAAG